Molecule: ribosomal RNA, 455 nt
Filed under: uncultured organism
Description: bacterial SSU rRNA
Rfam family: Bacterial small subunit ribosomal RNA
Source: RNAcentral
GUGCACCAGGCGAGAAUUUUUCUCAAUGGGGGAAACCCUGAAGGAGCGACGCCGCGUGGAGGAUGAAGGCUUUCGGGUUGUAAACUCCUGUCAUUUGAGAACAAGUGUAGCCAAAUAACUACUGGCUACUUGAUAGUAUCAGAAGAGGAAGGGACGGCUAACUCUGUGCCAGCAGCCGCGGUAAUACAGAGGUCCCAAGCGUUGUUCGGACUCAUUGGGCGUAAAGGGUGCGUAGGUGGCGCCGUCAGUGGGGUGUGAAAUUUCGGAGCUUAACUCCGAAACUGCAUUCCAUACUGCGGUGCUUGGGGACUGGAGAGGAGACUGGAAUUCAUGGUGUAGCAGUGAAAUGCGUAGAGAUCAUGAGGAAGACCAGUGGCGAAGGCGGGUCUCUGGACAGUUCCUGACACUGAGGCACGAAGGCUAGGGGAGCGAACGGGAUUAGAUAUCUCCGUAGU